AUUGAACGCUGGCGGAAUGCUUUACACAUGCAAGUCGAACGGCAGCACGGACUUCGGUCUGGUGGCGAGUGGCGAACGGGUGAGUAAUGUAUCGGAACGUGCCCAGUCGUGGGGGAUAACGUAGUGAAAAUUACGCUAAUACCGCAUACGAUCUAUGGAUGAAAGCGGGGGAUCGCAAGACCUCGCGCGAUUGGAGCGGCCGAUAUCAGAUUAGGUAGUUGGUGGGGUAAAGGCCCACCAAGCCAACGAUCUGUAGCUGGUCUGAGAGGACGACCAGCCAAACUGGAACUGAGAGACGGUCCAGACUCCUACGGGAGGCAGCAGUGGGGAAUUUUGGACAAUGGGCGAAAGCCUGAUCCAGCCAUUCCGCGUGCAGGAUGAAGGCCCUCGGGUUGUAAACUGCUUUUGUACAGAACGAAAAGGUUUCUACUAAUACUAGGGGCUCAUGACGGUACUGUAAGAAUAAGCACCGGCUAACUACGUGCCAGCCGCCGCGGUAA
RNAcentral lists this ribosomal RNA (500 nucleotides) under uncultured bacterium. RNAcentral describes it as "partial 16S ribosomal RNA". It matches the Rfam family "Bacterial small subunit ribosomal RNA", at positions 30 to 523 of the family's 1533-position model. The record is from RNAcentral.